UACAGGGGGGGCAAGCGUUGUUCGGAAUUACUGGGCGUAAAGGGUCUGUAGGUGGCCAACUAAGUCAGACGUGAAAUCCCUCAGCUUAACUGGGGAACUGCGUCUGAUACUGGAUGGCUUGAGUGUGGGAGAGGAAUGCGGAAUUCCAGGUGUAGCGGUGAAAUGCGUAGAUAUCUGGAGGAACACCGGUGGCGAAGGCGGCAUUCUGGACCGGUAUUGACGCUGAGGCGCGAAAGCUAGGGGAGCAAACGGG
This 253-nucleotide ribosomal RNA is filed under the name uncultured bacterium. RNAcentral describes it as "partial 16S ribosomal RNA". It matches the Rfam family "Bacterial small subunit ribosomal RNA", at positions 524 to 776 of the family's 1533-position model. The record is from RNAcentral.